Molecule: ribosomal RNA, 301 nt
Filed under: uncultured bacterium
Lineage: Bacteria
Description: partial 16S ribosomal RNA
Rfam family: Bacterial small subunit ribosomal RNA
Source: RNAcentral
CAGCCGCCGCGGUAAUACGAAGGGGGCUAGCGUUGUUCGGAUUUACUGGGCGUAAAGGGCGCGUAGGCGGACUGAUAAGUCAGGGGUGAAAUCCCAAGGCUCAACCUUGGAACUGCCUUUGAUACUGUUUGUCUUGAGUUCGAGAGAGGUAAGUGGAACUGCGAGUGUAGAGGUGAAAUUCGUAGAUAUUCGCAAGAACACCAGUGGCGAAGGCGGCUUACUGGCUCGAAACUGACGCUGAGGCGCGAAAGCGUGGGGAGCAAACAGGAUUAGAUACCCCAGUAGUCCCUGUCUCUUAUAC